GCGCCCGUAGCUCAACUGGAUAGAGCGCCUGGCUACGAACCAGUAGGUUGCGCGUUCGAGUCGCGCCGGGCGCA
RNAcentral lists this transfer RNA (74 nucleotides) under Elusimicrobiota bacterium. Its description in RNAcentral is "Elusimicrobia bacterium (hot springs metagenome) tRNA-Arg". It matches the Rfam family "tRNA". From Rfam's summary of the family: Transfer RNA (tRNA) molecules are approximately 80 nucleotides in length. The record is from RNAcentral. RNAcentral also lists the same sequence under 1 other name. Lineage: Bacteria; Pseudomonadati; Elusimicrobiota.